GUCUCAUUCUGUAUCUUCUCUCACACUCGCUGUUAUGGAGUUGUUCAUCCUCAUAGUUUUUCUGCUCCUGAUGGAGGUUCAGUCUCACCGAUAUCCUAGAGUAAAAGUAUCUCCAGAUGUCAUAAGAGAGUCCAGCGCAGUGAAGAUCAGCUGUGAGACAGAACCACGUGUUACAGUGAAUAAAUGUGAUUUCUACAUAAACAGAGAGGAGAAGAAAAUGAAAACCAGUCCAUCAUGUGAGCUCGAGCUCACUGGUGCUGAAGUGUUCAGAUGGGCAGCUGUAAAAUCACCUGAAUCACUCAACAUUAUCUGUUACUACACAGUGAUAAAUGUGCAAGGCUCAUUCAUACCAUCAUCAGAUUCUGAUCCUGCCACAGUGACAGUUCUAGUUUCAACAUCAACCACCACUGAAGAAACUACUACAACAGCCAUGAAAACCCCAGACCUCCAAACCAAGAUAAACCCACCAAUCAGUACAGCAAAGGAAACCAUGAAUACAUUGUUAAUAGUGCUGGUCUCCAUUGGUGUUGCUGGAAGUUUGUCUGGACUCAUGGGACUCAUCUGUCUGUGCCGGUUUGCAUGUAAAAAAAGAAGAAAACCCAUUAAAAUGAGAUCAAUAAAAACAGAUGUGCCCAUUCAAGAAACUGGUAUAAGUUGUUCUGGAUCUGCAGAGAUGUAUUCUCUGAUCACUUCUGUACCAGAAACAUCUCAGCCCAUAUCUGCAGGCCUCGAACGUCCAGAAUCACAUCUGGACAGCACAGCAGAUCCCACAAAACACAUUAUGUCUGUAAAUGUAAUUUACCAGCCCUCAGAUGUUUUGAUCAAUAAACAACAGAAACAGGGAAAUCCAGAAGAAAACGAGAAUGUUUAUAACAUGUACAGCACGAUCCCUGAAAACCAGUUCACUCAAAUGCAGGCGAUUAAUCCUACAGUUUGGUGAAGAUGUCUUGUUUCAUUAUGUACUGUACAUGCAUUGAGGUAUC
This is a long non-coding RNA of Cyprinus carpio carpio, 983 nucleotides long. The record is from Ensembl. NCBI's taxonomy places the organism in Eukaryota, Metazoa, Chordata, Actinopteri, Cypriniformes, Cyprinidae.